CACGUAGGGUGCAAGCGUUGUCCGGAUUUAUUGGGCGUAAAGGGCUCGUAGGCGGUUCGACAAGUCGGGUGUGAAACCUCCAGGCUCAACCUGGAGUCGCCACCCGAAACUGUUGUGACUAGAGUCCGGUAGAGGAGUGUGGAAUUUGUGGUGUAGCGGUGAAAUGCGCAGAUAUCACAAGGAACACCAGUAGCGAAGGCGACACUCUGGGCCGGAACUGACGCUGAGGAGCGAAAGCAUGGGGAGCAAACAGG
This 254-nucleotide ribosomal RNA is filed under the name uncultured bacterium. RNAcentral's name for it is "partial 16S ribosomal RNA". It matches the Rfam family "Bacterial small subunit ribosomal RNA", at positions 524 to 776 of the family's 1533-position model. The record is from RNAcentral.